This 460-nucleotide ribosomal RNA is filed under the name uncultured Rhodocyclaceae bacterium. RNAcentral's name for it is "bacterial SSU rRNA". It matches the Rfam family "Bacterial small subunit ribosomal RNA", at positions 921 to 1382 of the family's 1533-position model. The record is from RNAcentral. Lineage: Bacteria; Pseudomonadati; Pseudomonadota; Betaproteobacteria; Rhodocyclales; Rhodocyclaceae.
CCGCACAAGCGGUGGAUGAUGUGGAUUAAUUCGAUGCAACGCGAAAACUUACCUACCCUUGACAUGUCCGGAAUCCCGAAGAGAUUUGGGAGUGCUCGCAAGAGAACCGGAACACAGGUGCUGCAUGGCUGUCGUCAGCUCGUGUCGUGAGAUGUUGGGUUAAGUCCCGCAACGAGCGCAACCCUUGUCAUUAGUUGCCAUCAUUUGGUUGGGCACUCUAAUGAGACUGCCGGUGACAAACCGGAGGAAGGUGGGGAUGACGUCAAGUCCUCAUGGCCCUUAUGGGUAGGGCUUCACACGUCAUACAAUGGUCGGUACAGAGGGUUGCCAACCCGCGAGGGGGGGCUAAUCCCACAAAGCCGAUCGUAGUCCGGAUCGCAGUCUGCAACUCGACUGCGUGAAGUCGGAAUCGCUAGUAAUCGUGGAUCAGCAUGUCACGGUGAAUACGUUCCCGGGUCUU